GAUGAAGAACGCAGCAAAAUGCGAUAAGUAAUGUGAAUUGCAGAAUCCAGUGAAUCAUCGAAUCUUUGAACGCACAUUGCGCCCGCCAGUAUUCUGGCGGGCAUGCCUGUUCGAGCGUCAUUUCAACCCUCAAGCACAGCUUGGUGUUGGGACUCGCGUUAAUUCGCGUUCCCCAAAUUGAUUGGCGGUCACGUCGAGCUUCCAUAGCGUAGUAGUAAAACCCUCGUUACUGGUAAUCGUCGCGGCCACGCCGUUAAACCCCAACUUCUGAAUGUUGACCUCGGAUCAGGUAGGAAUACCCGCUGAACUUAAGCAUAUCAAUAAGCGGAGGA
This 332-nucleotide unclassified non-coding RNA is filed under the name soil metagenome. RNAcentral describes it as "partial contains 5.8S ribosomal RNA, internal transcribed spacer 2, and large subunit ribosomal RNA". The stretch from base 1 to 120 matches the Rfam family "5.8S ribosomal RNA", at positions 35 to 154 of the family's 154-position model. The record is from RNAcentral.